This 315-nucleotide unclassified non-coding RNA is filed under the name Hevea brasiliensis (rubber tree). Lineage: Eukaryota; Viridiplantae; Streptophyta; Magnoliopsida; Malpighiales; Euphorbiaceae. The record is from RNAcentral.
ACACCUGACUAUCAAGGUCGUGGUGGACCGCAGCCUCGUGGUGGAAUGGUGCCACAACAGUAUGGUCCGCCAUCAGAGUACCAUGGUCGUGGUGGACCUCCGCCUCGUGGUGGAAUGGCGCCACAACAGCAAGGCCCGCCACCUGAGUACCAUGGUCGUGGGGGUCCUCAGCCUCGUGGGGGGAUGGCGCCACAACAGCAACGCCCGGCGCCUGAAUACCAUGGUCGUGGUGGACCUCAGCCCCGUGGUGGAAUGGCACCGCAACAAUCAAGUCUGACUCCUGAAUACCAAGGUCGUGGUGUCCCUCAGCCUCGG